RNAcentral lists this long non-coding RNA (552 nucleotides) under Homo sapiens (human). RNAcentral's name for it is "HSALNT0309833". The record is from RNAcentral. Lineage: Eukaryota; Metazoa; Chordata; Mammalia; Primates; Hominidae.
AGGGCUGCCACACCAACCCUAGGCUGCCCACUCCCUGGCACACCUCUCGCCACCAGCCCAAACAGUUAUUGUGGUGAUGAUCCUUUUUAAGUACUAGAUGGUGCCAUUUCUACCAAACGUAAACAGGCUCCACAAAGCACAGCAUCAACGCGUGUCAGGCAGUGCACAGCAAGAGCUGAGGCAUUCGUGCAGCUGUUCUUCCCCUCUGCUGACUUUAUGUGGAGUAAAGGGCUACUCCAGCUGAGGAAAAAUGCCAAUAAAGGAGAUGAAAACAGCCAGAAAUUGUAUAUACUUAUCAUGUACAACAUGAUGCCCUGAAAUAUGUCUACACUACGGGAUGGCCAAAUUGAGGCAAUUAACAUAUGCAAGACCUCACAAACUUCAAAUUUUUUGUGGUGAGAACACUUAAAAUCCACAAAAAUUAGUAAUGUUCAGAAAUACGGAUUUACCUGAACACCUGUUUUUCUGGGACACCAACCUGUAGCAGUACUAGAAACAGCAAAUACGUCUAUGUGAAACCAUAAGUUUUAUGUACCCUAUCAACAAUAAAAA